CCCCUAGAUGUUCUGGGCCGCACGCGCGCUACACUGAACAGUUCAACAAGUCUUAACCUUGGCCGAUAGGUCUGGGUAAUCUUUGAACGCUGUUCGUGAUUGGGAUAGACCUUUGCAAUUAUGGGUCUUCAACGAGGAAUUCCUAGUAAACGCAAGUCAUCAGCUUGCAUUGAUUACGUCCCUGCCCUUUGUACACACCGCCCGUCGCACCUACCGAUUGAAUGGUCCGGUGAAAUCUCGGGACGGCGGCUCGGUCGCUUGCGUCCGACUGCUGAAACUUGAUUAAACCAUAUCAUUGAGAGGAAGGUGAAGUCGUAACA
Molecule: ribosomal RNA, 320 nt
Filed under: uncultured eukaryote
Lineage: Eukaryota
Description: partial 18S ribosomal RNA
Rfam family: Eukaryotic small subunit ribosomal RNA
Source: RNAcentral